CCAGCAGCCGCGGUAAUUCCAGCUCCAAUAGUGUAUCUUAAUGUUGUUGCAGUUAAAAAGCUCGUAGUUGAAUUUCUGGCACUCUGGCUGAUCUACGGAGAUGCAUGGGGUCGUCAUCCGCGUUGGAACCGUGUGCAUCGCAAGAUCAUGCGGGGAAGGCGCAUUUUACUUUGAAGAAAUUAGAGUGUUCCAGGCAGGCUAUGCUUGAAUAUUACAGCAUGGAAUAAUGGAAUAGGACUUGUCCUUUUCGUUGGUUAAUUGGACUAGUAAUGAUUAACAGGGACAGUUGGGGGCAUUCGUAUUGGGCAGUCAGAGGUGAAAUUCUUUAAUUUGCUCAAGACGCA
Molecule: ribosomal RNA, 344 nt
Filed under: uncultured eukaryote
Lineage: Eukaryota
Description: SSU rRNA
Rfam family: Eukaryotic small subunit ribosomal RNA
Source: RNAcentral